Molecule: ribosomal RNA, 259 nt
Filed under: uncultured bacterium
Lineage: Bacteria
Description: partial 16S ribosomal RNA
Source: RNAcentral
CUGCUGCCUCCCGUAGGAGUUUGGGCCGUGUCUCAGUCCCAAUGUGGCCGGUCACUCUCUCAAGCCGGCUACUGAUCGUCGCUUUGGUAGGCUUUUACCCUGCCAACUGGCUAAUCAGACGCGGGCCCAUCCUGUACCUAUAAAUAUUUGAUAGAUAUAUCAUGCGGUAUCUCUAUAUCAUGCGGUUUUAAGCAGUCGUUUCCAACCUGUUAUCCCCCGUGUACAGGGCAGGUUACCCCACGCGUUACUCACCCGUCCG